GAUCAUGGCUCAGGACGAACGCUGGCGGCGUGCUUAACACAUGCAAGUCGAACGAGAAUCUGUGGAAAGAGGAUUCAUCCAAUUGAAGCAGAGGACAGUGGCGGACGGGUGAGUAACGCGUGAGGAACCUGCCUUUCAGAGGGGGACGAACAGUUGGAACGACUGCUAAUACCGCAUGACACAUAGGUGUCGCAUGGCACUUAUGUCAAAGAUUUAUCGCUGAAAG
This 226-nucleotide ribosomal RNA is filed under the name uncultured bacterium. RNAcentral describes it as "partial 16S ribosomal RNA". It matches the Rfam family "Bacterial small subunit ribosomal RNA", at positions 15 to 224 of the family's 1533-position model. The record is from RNAcentral.